AGAGUUUGAUCCUGGCUCAGAAUCAACGCUGGCGGCGUGCCUAACACAUGCAAGUCGCACGAGAAAGGGUAGCAAUACCUGAGUACAGUGGCGCACGGGUGAGUAACACGUGAAUUAUCUACCUCCGAGUGGGGAAUAACUGAGAGAAAUCUUAGCUAAUACCGCAUAACACUUACGAGUCAAAGCAGCAAUGCGCUUGGAGAGGAGUUCGCGGCCGAUUAGUUAGUUGGCGGGGUAAUGGCCCACCAAGACGAUGAUCGGUAUCCGGCCUGAGAGGGCGCACGGACACACUGGAACUGAAACACGGUCCAGACUCCUACGGGAGGCAGCAGUGGGGAAUUUUGCGCAAUGGGGGAAACCCUGACGCAGCAACGCCGCGUGGAGGAUGAAAUAUCUUGGUAUGUAAACUCCUUUCGAUGGGGAAGAUUAUGACGGACCCAUAGAAGA
RNAcentral lists this ribosomal RNA (447 nucleotides) under uncultured soil bacterium. RNAcentral describes it as "bacterial SSU rRNA". It matches the Rfam family "Bacterial small subunit ribosomal RNA", at positions 8 to 488 of the family's 1533-position model. The record is from RNAcentral.